This 497-nucleotide ribosomal RNA is filed under the name uncultured bacterium. RNAcentral's name for it is "partial 16S ribosomal RNA". It matches the Rfam family "Bacterial small subunit ribosomal RNA", at positions 28 to 507 of the family's 1533-position model. The record is from RNAcentral.
GAUGAACGCUGGCGGUGUGCCUAACACAUGCAAGUCGAGCGAACACACGAUGAGAUCUUUCUCUUACCGUUAGCGACGGACGGGCGAGUAACACAUGGAUAACCAUCUAAUUAUACUGGGAUAAUUACGGGAAACCGGUGACACUACUGGAUAAUACAUCCUACGGCUUGGAUCAAUAGAUAUUGACAGCUUUGCCGUCUCAAUUAGCCGGAUUCGCGUCGCAUUAGCUAGUUGGUAAGGUAACGGCUUACCAAGGCAACGAUGCGUAGCCGACCUGAGAGGGUGAUCAGCCACACUGGAACUGAGACACGGUCCAGACUCCUACGGGAGGCAGCAGUGGGGAAUCUUCCGCAAUGGGCGAAAGCCUGACGGAGCAACACCGCGUGAGUGAUGAAGGUCUUCGGGUCGUAAAGCUCUUUUGUUGGGAAAGAACAGAAGUAGAUGUAUCUAUGGACGUCUUGACGGUACCUAAACAGAAAGCCACGGCUAACUACGUG